This is a long non-coding RNA of Phasianus colchicus (ring-necked pheasant), 756 nucleotides long. RefSeq lists it as uncharacterized. Lineage: Eukaryota; Metazoa; Chordata; Aves; Galliformes; Phasianidae. The record is from RefSeq and is a predicted model, not a curated record.
CUGGAGCGCGGCGCCGAUUGGUGGAGCGCGUGCGUCGCGUUGAAGAGGGACUCCGAUCGCUGCGCAAGGGAGUGAGAGGAGGGGAGAAGUGUCCCUGCCAAGAUGGAGUUCCAGCUGGAUCAGUUUUGGAAGACACUACUUCAAAGGCUCAGUGUCCUGCCAUGAAUCUGCCUGCCAUGCCGACAUCUUGCUUGUUUAUUCUUCUUCCUCUACCACUCAACAGCAGUUGCUGCAUUGACGAAGAGCAUUCCUCUUUUCAGCUAUGGUUUGUUACAAGAUAGGUUCCUGGUUGGUUGUUGUCCAAGAAGAUAACUGAGAUCCUAAGUUAUAACGCUUAGACUACAACACUGUUUUAAAGAUGAUACUACUAAGAGGAGGAAUGUGUUUAAAAAUUUAAGCAAGCAAAACAAGCAAAAAAACCACACACAGAAUUUAAUAAAGAAAAGACAAAAAGGAGGACUCCCUGUUUCUGUUGUUCAUAUAGAAAAGGUGAAGUUCUUCAGCUGGAGAGCUCCAUAUGUCUGCGUCAGUCAGCCGAGUGACUCAGUGUUGUGAUGCUAAUGUAGGUCUGACUGGAUUGGAAGCCCAAAUAUAUAUAACAGAGAAAAACUCGGCAUAGCUUCGUUUGAGAGAAGUGAGUAAUUUUUGUUUCCUAAUGCAUACCUCAAUUUAAACCCUUUUAUCUUUCACCACUGUAUUUCCUUCCUGUUUCCCUGGUCUUGCAUGCUUCAUUCAGCAGGCUACCUCAGAAAUAAC